GCGCGGCUGUAGUCCAAGUUACCGGGAGGCUGAGGCUGGCGCAUCGUUUGAGCUCAGGAGCUCUGAGCUGCAGUAGACUAUGAAGAUCGGGUGUCCGCACUAAGUUCGGUAUCGAUAAGGAUGCAGCGAUCCAGGUCGGAGACGGAGCAGGUCAAAGCCCCCGUGACGCUCAGCAGUGGGAUCGCGCCUGUGAAUAGACGCUGUAGUGCAGCCUGCGUAAUACAGUGGGGCCCAGUCUUUAUACUGUUCAACAAACAGCUGGGACGUCUUUACAACGUGUUUACAUGUUACAGCAGCUUCAUCACUGCUUCUUUACAUUCUAGUUCCCAUGAAAACAUUCAGUAACCAGUUGUGUUUGUUUGUCCUACAGCGCCUCCACCUGGAGGAGAGGAGCGGUGAGCAUCACUCACAGCAGUCAGUGCAGCGCCACAGAUGCAGCAAACUAACGGGGCUUUCGUUAUGACAUUCAAUGAACUUGAUGAAGAGGAUCAUAAAUCAAGGAUCAUAAUCAGAGGGACGUCUGUGCUGUGUUUUUGUAAGGCCUCUGGUGGAGAUCCACCGGGAGCAGGUGCUUCUUCCUCCUCAUCCUCCACGUUCAACACCAACUCCUGCUCUUCUCAAAGUUAAAUAAAGUCCAUCAAAGUUAAAUAAUGUCCAUCAAUCUCUGUAUUACAUACGACUUUAUUAUGACAUACUAUAUGACCAUUUUAGACUUUUUCCGACUUACUAACCUCUACUAAAUCACGACUCUUUUGACAUUCUAUUCUAUGCCUUCUUUUUACUUUUAUCAACAAAAUAUACUAUGCCUUUUUUUUUGCUUUUUUGGACAUACUAUACUGUGACUUCUUUUUCAACAUACCAUACUAUGACUCCUUUUACAUUUUUUGACAUACGAUAAAAUGACUCUUAUGACAAUAGCCAAAGUAAAAGUGUUUGCCAUUUCUACCAGUAGAUGAUAGUAUACGUGUGUAAACCAUAGAUUUAGUCAUAUUUACUUGUGUCUUUGUUAAUUAUCUAGGUUAUUAAUACAGAUCUGUUGAAUGAUGUUUAUAUAAUCUGAUAUUUGAAGUUCAUGGUUAAUUUGCAACCUAGUUGUAAAUUUGUGUCAUUUAAGAACCAAAUAUACCGACAUGAAAGAGUGAGCAUGUGCUGAUCAUGAGGCAAUA
Anarrhichthys ocellatus (wolf-eel) is the source of this 1166-nucleotide long non-coding RNA. RefSeq lists it as uncharacterized. The record is from RefSeq and is a predicted model, not a curated record. Lineage: Eukaryota; Metazoa; Chordata; Actinopteri; Perciformes; Anarhichadidae. The transcript has 3 exons.